RNAcentral lists this long non-coding RNA (2482 nucleotides) under Homo sapiens (human). Its description in RNAcentral is "HSALNT0332457". Lineage: Eukaryota; Metazoa; Chordata; Mammalia; Primates; Hominidae. The record is from RNAcentral.
GUGUGGUGUGGAAGUGUUUGUUUUUUGCAAUAGAUUUUUGUUGCAGUUUAGGUUUGUAUUUUCUUUGUUUUGUAGUGCUUAUUAUGAAGGUUCGUAGGUUUAUGUCUGUAGGCCAGGCAGGUCAUUAAACUUAACAAAGAAUAAGUAAGUCGGGAGAGGGGAAUAGAAAUCUCCACAUACAUAUUCUUAAAAGCUGUAACACUCACCACAAAGAUCUGCUGAGUGAAGUCUGUGAGACGAACGCACCAAGUCUGGACGCUCUGUCAGGCUACAUUUUACGUUUUUGGGAGUGAGCAGGUGUUAUUCUGUUCCCCGGGUUGGUUUUGAAGUCAUGGCUCUCAAGUAAUUUUUGUGCUUCUCAAAAGUGCUGGAAUUGCAAAGAGUUCAAACAUUGAAUUAGUUGUGCAAUGGAAGGAGUAUUACCAGGACCCAGAUGCAGCCCAAGGAAAAAAGAAAACAAAAGGAGACACACACAGACACCAGAGCAUGAUGCAAGUGUGGCUUAAUCGGUGCUUGCACAUUGGGCUUGUUCUUUCCAAACCUGUUGCCCCGAUUCUGCAAGGCUAUCCUGCUGUAGAAGGAGGCCCUGGAGGACAAGACACCAUGUGGGGAAAACAGCCAUGGGGAGCAGAACCGAGGUAUCCCAGCUUAGCUCCCAACUGACAGCAGCCACAUGAGUGAGCAGAAAAACAACUUCCAAGGGUGAUUUAGCUACUGCUGCUGUGGAAUGUCAAAACUUUCAGCAAGGGAGCCCGAUGCAGAUCUGUUGAUAUGACACCAUUCCACAAGAAGACCAACUGAUGGCUUUGUGGCAAGUUGACUACACUGGGCUGUUUCUAUUCUGGGAAGACAGAGAUUUGUUCUAAGAGGAAUAGGCAUGUGUUGCAGGCAUAGGUUGACCUUUCCUGCCAUGGAGCCUCCUCUGGUACCACUAUUUGAAGGUUGAAGGAAUGUUGAUUCACCAGGAUUGAGUCAGACCAGCCAAGCCUAUGACCAUGAUGUCAACUGACUGUAUCACCUGUCACAUCAUCCAGAAGCUACAGACUUAUAAGGCAUUGGAAUAACUUGUAGAUGGCCCCGUUAAAGUACCAGCUUAGAGGCAACACUCCAUGAGAAUGAGACAUCAUCUCCAGGAUGGCACAUACACAUUGAAUCACACAGCAUUGAUAAGGAGAUGGCUCCCCAGUAGGAAGAAUAUAUUGGUCAUGAACCAAGGGAUGAAGCAGAAGUGUCUUGCUUCCUGUCCCUGCAGCCUCUCUUUCUGCAGUGCUAGAAAUCCUGGUCAAAAGGGGGCAUAAUUUUAUCAGGGGACACAGCAAAAGUCUCCACUACAUUGCAGCUAUGCCUGCUGCCUGGGGAUUUUGGGCUUCUUAUAAUUGGGACCAGCAAUAAAAGAGAAGAGUCACAGUCUUGGCAGGGCUAAUUGACCCUGAUCAGCAGGAGAAGAAAGGCUGUGGUUCCACUAUGAGGGUAGGGAAGACGUGUGGCACCACUGAUCCACUUUUGCAACCCAUGGUACUCCCGUGGCCAGUUGUGAUGACAGACAAGUGCAGGAACACUUUUGGGAAGGGCAUGGUGGCCAGAGUUCAGACCCCAUGGGAAUGAGGACCAGGGUCACACCACUGGAUAAGCCAGGAGGAAGAGAGGCCCACUGGAAGGCUGGAGGAGCUGCUCCCCAGAUGUAGAUGAAGUAGAUUUGAGCAGCACAGUGGUGGACCUAGUAGAGGCGGACAUCAAGAUCCUCUUCAAGGAAAGAUUAUCAAUAUAGUUUUCCCUGACCCAGGUGCCAUGUGUUUUCUGUCAUAUUCACGUAUGCUAAUACAUAAUUGUGCAAGUGGGGUAAUAUCUGGGACACUUCAUGGUUCAUAUCAAAACACAGAGUGAAGAGAACAUCCUCUGGGCCAUCUCAGAGUGUGAGUUUGGGGCGGGGGUGGCUCCUGGUUAACAUUUCUGUCCACUGCAGCAUUCCUUUUCCCUUUUGCUUUUAGAUUCUUCCCUUGACAUCACACCAGGAAAGUCUGACAACUUAACUUUAUUGGAUAUAGGCAACCGUUGAAUCCAAGUUUUGCCCACUGAAUCCAUCAAAUUGUUACAGCCAAUUCUAGAUGCCUGAGUGGACACAUGAAAUCCAGAUUCCCCAGUAAGCGCAUCCCCAUUAAUAAACUGACCAAAUGCAAUGUUAAUCUGUUCUAUAACCUUUAGAAUCCAUCCCAACAUAUAUUUUUUAGGUUCCUGCCAAGAUAUGUUAGCAAAAGCUUGCAAUUUUUUGAAAAAUGAAUUAUCUCUUCCUGGGACAUGUGUUGUACUUUUCUCUCUGAAAUAGGCUGAGCUCUGACUCCAUUAAAAGUCUGAAAGCAAUGAAGAGUGAAGGAGCGGAUAUUGGGGAGAAUAGGCAUCCUCUUGCAAGAUAACUGCCUCAAAGUCAUUAUAAGGUUUUCAAGCAAGAGAAAGCUAAUUUCCUUACACAUAUGAAGAAGCGUUG